Bufo bufo (common toad) is the source of this 189-nucleotide long non-coding RNA. RefSeq lists it as uncharacterized. NCBI's taxonomy places the organism in Eukaryota, Metazoa, Chordata, Amphibia, Anura, Bufonidae. The record is from RefSeq and is a predicted model, not a curated record. The transcript is spliced from 3 exons.
AGAGGGGCUGACACCCUUGUACCAUCCACUUGUGACCGGAACACAUAGUUUCCAGCAGCGCGGUUCCAAAACCUAUUGACUUGACUUUGCCAGUGUGAAACCUACCACACUAUUCCGGGACCAGCAGCAGCGCAAGUAAUUGUCCGUGUUGGGACACAGGACUGACUUUCUCUGUUAUAUCUGUAUUUU